UACGAGUGCCUCAAGCGUUAUCCGGAAUUAUUGGGCGUAAAGGGUAUGUAGGUGGUUUUGUUAGUCUUUUGUUAAAACUCUCGGCUUAACCGAGAGGCUGCAAAGGAAACGGCAAGACUAAGAGUGUGCGAGGGGUCUGUAGAACUCAUGGUGUAGCAGUGAAAUGCGUUGAUAUCAUGGGGAAUACCAAAAGCGAAGGCAGCAGACUGGAGCAUCACUGACACUGAAAUACGAAAGCGUGGGUAGCGAAUGGG
RNAcentral lists this ribosomal RNA (254 nucleotides) under uncultured bacterium. Its description in RNAcentral is "partial 16S ribosomal RNA". It matches the Rfam family "Bacterial small subunit ribosomal RNA", at positions 524 to 776 of the family's 1533-position model. The record is from RNAcentral.